UACAGAGGGGGCAAGCGUUAUUCGGAAUUAUUGGGCGUAAAGGGCGCGUAGGCGGCCUGGCAAGUGGAUGGUGAAAUCCCUCGGCUUAACCGAGGAACUGCCAUCCAGACUGCUUGGCUUGAGACCGGGAGAGGUGAGUGGAAUUCCCAGUGUAGCGGUGAAAUGCGUAGAUAUUGGGAGGAACACCAGUGGCGAAGGCGGCUCACUGGACCGGUACCGACGCUGAUGCGCGAAAGCGUGGGGAGCAAACCGG
Molecule: ribosomal RNA, 253 nt
Filed under: uncultured bacterium
Lineage: Bacteria
Description: partial 16S ribosomal RNA
Rfam family: Bacterial small subunit ribosomal RNA
Source: RNAcentral